RNAcentral lists this ribosomal RNA (464 nucleotides) under uncultured bacterium. RNAcentral describes it as "partial 16S ribosomal RNA". It matches the Rfam family "Bacterial small subunit ribosomal RNA", at positions 339 to 795 of the family's 1533-position model. The record is from RNAcentral.
CUACGGGAGGCUCCAGUGGGGAAUAUUGCACAAUGGGCGCAAGCCUGAUGCAGCCAUGCCGCGUGUAUGAAGAAGGCCUUCGGGUUGUAAAGUACUUUCAGCGGGGAGGAAGGGAGUAAAGUUAAUACCUUUGCUCAUUGACGUUACCCGCAGAAGAAGCACCGGCUAACUCCGUGCCAGCAGCCGCGGUAAUACGGAGGGUGCAAGCGUUAAUCGGAAUUACUGGGCGUAAAGCGCACGCAGGCGGUUUGUUAAGUCAGAUGUGAAAUCCCCGGGCUCAACCUGGGAACUGCAUCUGAUACUGGCAAGCUUGAGUCUCGUAGAGGGGGGUAGAAUUCCAGGUGUAGCGGUGAAAUGCGUAGAGAUCUGGAGGAAUACCGGUGGCGAAGGCGGCCCCCUGGACGAAGACUGACGCUCAGGUGCGAAAGCGUGGGGAGCAAACAGGAUUAGAUACCCGCGUAGUC